Molecule: ribosomal RNA, 193 nt
Filed under: uncultured bacterium
Lineage: Bacteria
Description: partial 16S ribosomal RNA
Rfam family: Bacterial small subunit ribosomal RNA
Source: RNAcentral
CGCGAAGAACCUUACCAGGACUUGACAUCUUCUGCCAACCUUAGAGAUUAGGACGUUCCCUUCGGGAACAGAAUGACAGGUGGUGCAUGGCUGUCGUCAGCUCGUGUCGUGAGAUGUUGGGUUAAGUCCCGCAACGAGCGCAACCCUUGUAUCUAGUUGCCAGCAUUAAGUUGGCACUCUAGAGAGACUCCGU